CCGACACAGGUGGGUGGGAUGAGUAUUCUAAGGCGCGUGGAAGAACUCUCUUUAAGGAACUCUGCAAAAUAGCACCGUAUCUUCGGUAUAAGGUGUGGUUCGCUUCGUAUUAGGAUUUACUCCGAAAGCGAAGAAACUUACAACAAAGAGUCCCUCCCGACUGUUUACCAAAAACACAGCACUCUGCUAACUCGUAAGAGGAUGUAUAGGGUGUGACGCCUGCCCGGUGCUCGAAGGUUAAUUGAUGGGGUUAGCAUUAGCGAAGCUCUUGAUCGAAGCCCGAGUAAACGGCGGCCGUAACUAUAACGGUCCUAAGGUAGCGAAAUUCCUUGUCGGUUAAAUACCGACCUGCAUGAAUGGCGUAACGAGAUGGGAGCUGUCUCAAAGAGGGAUCCAGUGAAAUUGUAGUGGAGGUGAAAAUUCCUCCUACCCGCGGCAAGACGGAAAGACCCCGUGGACCUUUACUACAGCUUGACACUGCUAUUUGGAUAAGAAUGUGCAGGAUAGGUGGGAGGCUUUGAGUAUAUGACGCCAGUUGUAUAUGAGCCAUUGUUGAGAUACCACUCUUUCUUAUUUGGGUAGCUAACCAGCUUGAGUUAUCCUCAAGUGGGACAAUGUCUGGUGGGUAGUUUGACUGGGGCGGUCGCCUCCCAAAUAAUAACGGAGGCUUACAAAGGUUGGCUCAGAACGGUUGGAAAUCGUUCGUAGAGUAUAAAGGUAUAAGCCAGCUUAACUGCAAGACAUACAAGUCAAGCAGAGACGAAAGUCGGUCUUAGUGAUCCGGUGGUUCUGUGUGGAAGGGCCAUCGCUCAAAGGAUAAAAGGUACCCCGGGGAUAACAGGCUGAUCUCCCCCAAGAGCUCACAUCGACGGGGAGGUUUGGCACCUCGAUGUCGGCUCAUCGCAUCCUGGGGCUGGAGCAGGUCCCAAGGGUAUGGCUGUUCGCCAUUUAAAGCGGUACGCGAGCUGGGUUCAGAACGUCGUGAGACAGUUCGGUCCCUAUCUGCCGUGGGCGUAAGAAGAUUGAAGAGAUUUGACCCUAGUACGAGAGGACCGGGUUGAACAAACCACUGGUGUAGCUGUUGUUCUGCCAAGAGCAUCGCAGCGUAGCUAAGUUUGGAAAGGAUAAACGCUGAAAGCAUCUAAGCGUGAAGCCAACUCUAAGAUGAAUCUUCUCUAAGCUCUCUAGAAGACUACUAGUUUGAUAGGCUGGGUGUGUAAUGGAUGAAAGUCCUUUAGCUGACCAGUACUAAUAGAGCGUUUGGCUUAUCUUUAAUAAAGCAU
This 1283-nucleotide ribosomal RNA is filed under the name Campylobacter coli. RNAcentral describes it as "partial 23S ribosomal RNA". It matches the Rfam family "Bacterial large subunit ribosomal RNA", at positions 1654 to 2925 of the family's 2925-position model. The record is from RNAcentral. Lineage: Bacteria; Pseudomonadati; Campylobacterota; Epsilonproteobacteria; Campylobacterales; Campylobacteraceae.